Molecule: ribosomal RNA, 453 nt
Filed under: uncultured bacterium
Lineage: Bacteria
Description: bacterial SSU rRNA
Rfam family: Bacterial small subunit ribosomal RNA
Source: RNAcentral
UACGGAAGGCAGCAGUGGGGAAUAUUGCACAAUGGGCGCAAGCCUGAUGCAGCCAUGCCGCGUGUAUGAAAAAGGCCUUCGGGUUGUAAAGUACUUUCAGUCGUGAGGAAGGUGUUAAGGUUAAUAACCUUAGCAAUUGACGUUAGCGACAGAAGAAGCACCGGCUAACUCCGUGCCAGCAGCCGCGGUAAUACGGAGGGUGCGAGCGUUAAUCGGAAUUACUGGGCGUAAAGGGCACGCAGGCGGUUAAUUAAGUUGGAUGUGAAAUCCCCGGGCUUAACCUGGGAAUGGCAUUCAAGACUGGUUAGCUAGAGUCUUGUAGAGGGGGUUAGAAUUCCAUGUGUAGCGGUGAAAUGCGUAGAGAUGUGGAGGAAUACCGGUGGCGAAGGCGGCCCCUGGACAAAGACUGACGCUCAUGUGCGAAAGCUGGGGAGCAAACGAGGAUUAGAUACC